UUCGCUUCAAUCUUUCCCACCCCAAGUAAUCCGGGCGCUUCUUCUCCCCUAGCACCCAUCCUGCGCCUCCUGAUGCCAAUUUCCGGUUACCAUCUCUACUCUUCUCCGGAGGACUGGCAAACA
Molecule: non-coding RNA, 123 nt
Organism: Caenorhabditis elegans
Lineage: Eukaryota; Metazoa; Nematoda; Chromadorea; Rhabditida; Rhabditidae
Source: Ensembl